UACAGAGGUCCCGAGCGUUGUUCGGAUUCACUGGGCGUAAAGGGUGCGUAGGUGGCUUGGAAAGUUUGAUGUGAAAGCUCAGGGCUUAACCCUGAAAUGGCAUUGAAUACUGCCGGGCUGGAGGUUUGGAGGGGGGACUGGAAUUCUUGGUGUAGCAGUGAAAUGCGUAGAUAUCAAGAGGAACACCAGUGGCGAAGGCGAGUCUCUGGACAGUUACCGACGCUGAGGCACGAAGGUCAGGGGAGCAAACGGG
RNAcentral lists this ribosomal RNA (253 nucleotides) under uncultured bacterium. RNAcentral's name for it is "partial 16S ribosomal RNA". It matches the Rfam family "Bacterial small subunit ribosomal RNA", at positions 524 to 776 of the family's 1533-position model. The record is from RNAcentral.